This 4273-nucleotide long non-coding RNA is filed under the name Xyrichtys novacula (pearly razorfish). The record is from RNAcentral. Lineage: Eukaryota; Metazoa; Chordata; Actinopteri; Labriformes; Labridae.
UCUCACACAGCACACUCCACUCUGCACACACACUUCCUUGUUCCCUCCUCAUUAGAUCUACAGUUGAGUUUGUGUGUAACUAUCUUGUGCUGAGCAGAUCCUGCUGACACACACAUGUUGUUGAGAUAAGAGCUCAGACUAGUUUAACUUCUGAGGAAAUAAAACUCAGUCAGUCAGUCAUCGUCGACAGUGAGUGUUGAAAUGGCGCAGAAAGGAGUUCAGCUGGACCGUGAAUCUUUCUCUUGUCCCAUCUGUUUGGAUCGACUGAAGGAUCCGGUGGCUGUUUCCUGUGGACACAGCUUCUGCAUGAGCUGUAUUCAAGCCCACUGGGAUAAAGAGGAUGAGAAGAAGAUCUACAGCUGUCCUCAGUGCAGACGGACCUUCACACCGAGGCCUGUCCUGCAGAAAAACACCAUGUUGGCAGGUUUAGUGGAGGAAGUCUGCUCUCGUCAUGGUGAGGUGAUGAAGAUCUUCUGUCGCACUGAUCAACAGUCUAUCUGUUUCAUCUGCUGUUUGGGCCAACACGAAGGCCACAACACAGUCUCAGCUGCAGCAGAAAGGACUGAGAGGCAGAAAGAUCUGGAGGAGAGUCGAGAAAACAUCCAGCAGAGAAUCCAGGUUAGAGAGAAAGAUGUGAAGCUGCUCCAACAGGAGGUGGAGGCUAUCAACGGCUCUGCUGAUAAAGCUGUGGAGCACAGCCAGGAGAUCUUCAGCCAGCUGAUCCGUCUCAUGGAGAAACAUCACUCUGAGGUGGAGCAGCAGGUCAGAUCCCAGCAGAAACGUGAAGUGAGUCGAGUCAAAGAGCUUCAGAAGAAGCUGGAGCAGGAGAUCACUGAGCUGAAGAGGAAAGACGCUGAUCUGCUGAAGCUCUCACUCACAGAGGACCACAACCAGUUUCUGCUCGGCUAUCCCCCACUGUCAGGACCGGGUCAACCUGCAGACUCAUCCAGGAUCAACAUCCGUCCUCAGAGAUACUUUGAGGAGGUGACAGCAGCUGUGUCAGAGGUCAGAGAUAAACUCCAGGAUCUUCUGACAGAGACGUGGACAAACGUCUCACAGGCAGUGAGUGAAGUGGAUAUUUUACUGUUAGAACCACCAGAACCAGAACCAGAACCCAAGACCAGAGCUGAUUUCUUAAGAUAUUCACAAAGAAUCACACUGGAUCCAAACACAGCACACAGAAAGCUGUUAUUAUCUGUUGCAAACAGAAGAGCAACAUAUACAGAAGAACAACAGUCUUAUCCUGAUCACCCAGACAGAUUCAUUGAUUAUACUCAAGUCCUGAGUAGAGAGAGUCUGACUGGACGUUGUUACUGGGAGGUGGAGCGGAGAGGGUACGAGGUCCAUGUAGCAGUCGCUUACAAGACUAUCAGCAGAGCAGGGUGGUCAGGGGAUUGUGGAUUUGGAUGCAAUGACAAAUCUUGGAGGUUAGUCUGUUAUAAAGACAGGUAUGAUUUUUUUCACAACAGUGUCUUCACUCGUGUCUCAGGUCCUCGGUCUUCCAGAGUAGGAGUGUACCUGGAUCAUAAAGCAGGUAUUCUGUCCUUCUACAGCGUCUCUGAAACCAUGACUCUCCUCCACAGAGUUAAGACCACAUUCACUCAGCCGCUACAUGCUGGAGUGGCAUUAUCAUGGGCUAAUGGAGGCUCUGCUGAGUUUAGUGACGUGACCAAACAAAAAAAAAAAAAAUGAGUCCAUCAGACCAAAAACAUGUAAAUGAGAUCACUGAACUCUUGAAAUGUUCUGGUUUGUAAAUUUUUGUGGAUCAGUCUCACCAAAAACUCUCGGUUUAGUUUUUCUUUUUUACCUUUUUCAUUCUUUUUUAAAAAUGCUACUUUGGUCGCAGCUGUAAGGACAGUGAUUGUGGAUAACUUUGAUUGUUUGUAUUUCUCAUUUUAAAAAUCUUCACUUAAGUUUUAUAGCAACAACAUCAAGAUGAUCAUUUGUUGAAAUCACCUUCAGUUGGUGCAGAUUUUAAAGGUCUGAGACUUAAGAGAAAAAAGUGACGUCAAAAUAACAGAAAGAUGAAAAAAGUACCACCUUAUUUCCUGUCCCAAAUUCAACUGUCUAAAGUCUUUCCUGUCUUCCCCAAAAACACUUCAAAUGAUAUGUGCUCUCUCUGUUUGCUGAAUAUUUGUAUUCGUGGCUUCUAUGGAUAUUCCAACAUGUUGUUAUGAGCUUUUCAAUCACUCUAAUAAUAAUCAUAUUCAAUUGUUCAACUGUUUUUGUGUUUCUAACUCAGCUCAGAUAGUGGUGAAGUCGCUGAUUGUGGGUGAAGAAAAAUAAAAAUCAUCAAACUUUGUCACUGAAAGCACCUUGCCUAUUUUUCUUCUUGGUUUAGUUCACCUGAACGACAACAAGUGUAAUGUCAGUUAGCCGAGAUUGAAUGAUCUGGGGGUUAGACAUCAUGUUGCCCUAAAAACAUAAAUCAGGGUAUGAAAAGAAGAAAGAGAGGAAAGAAAAAGAAAGAGGGCAGAAUGAGGGGAGGCAGCUGUUGACUGCUUUCUUUCCCAAAGGUGAACUAAGUUUGCUUGUUCUGCAAAGUCCAACUAAAGUUAACGUGGUCUACACUGGACAGCUGCUGCUGAUGUUUGUAUGCUCAUGUUAAGUCUUUAGCUAAGCUAGUCGCCAACCAGGCUGCUUGUGGCUAAAAGUAUAAAGAUAAUUAUGGGUCAGCUAAUGUUAGUUGACAACAUUAACCAGUUUCAGAAACAAACAGCAGUGCGUUUACAGGCACAGCUUAAUUGGGCAAAGCUCCUAAUUUUUUAUUUUUUUUUCCACCGAAUCGGACGUCUCUCCUUGUCCGAGUAUACAUGCAACCAAGAUCAGGGAGGUCCUAACUUACCAGGAGCCGUAAAAUGGUCGUGUUGACACAAUGCAGUGGAAGAUUAUUGGGACAAACUACAGUUAUGACAAGCCAGAUUCAGACCAUGUCCACCUGGUUUUUGGGACUUGUUUGUGGAGCCCUAAAUUGGACCUUUAUUCAUCUAAUGUCGGGGCAGCUAUAACUGUGGAGAUAAAACUGAACCAUAUUUGUGUUUAGUUUCUGUGUGUAUUGCCAUCGUAUCAAAAGCUCUCUUUGUUGGAGUGUGAGAGUCUAAAGUUCACAUCGCCGCUCCUCUUCCUGGUUUUUACAAGAGCUGGAUUUCCCUUCCUCGUCUCUCACACAGCACAUUCCAUUCUGCACACACACUUCCUUGUUCUCCUCACUUCCUUUUUCCCUCCCCUUGAGGCUGGGUGUAACCAGCCUGUGCUGAGCAGAUCCUGCUGACACACACAUGUUUUUGAGAUCAGAGCUCAGACUAGUUUAACUUCUGAGAAACAAACAAGAUGAAAAAAGUACCACCUUAUUUCCUGUCCCAAAUCCAACCCUCUAAAGUCUUUCCAGUUGUCCCCAAAUACAUUUCAAAUGAUCUGUGCUUUCUCUGUUUGCUGAAUAUUUGCAUUCAUGUCAUCGAUGGAUAAUGCUGUCUGCUUCUGUUACAUCAGUGUGUUUGUAAAGAGAUCUAUAAUGACACUUUUGGCAGAUCAACAUGUUAUGAGCUUUUCAAUCACUUCAAUAAUAAUCACAUUCAUUUGUCCAACUUUUUUUAUGUUUCUGACUCAGCUGAGAUUGUGGUGAAGUCUCUGAUUGUGGGUGAAAAAGAUAAAAAUAAUUAAACUGUGUCACUGAAAGCACCUCACCUGUUUUACUUUAUGGUUUAGUUCACCCGACUGGCGACAAGUGUAAUGUCAGUUAGCCGAGAUUGAAUGACCCGGGGGUUAGACAUCAUGUUGCCCAAAAAGCGUAAAUCGGGGCAUGAAAAGAAGAAAGAGAGGAAAGAAAAAGAAAGAAGGCAGAAUGAGGGGAGGCAGCUGUUGACUGCUUUCUUUCCCAAAGGUGAACUAAGUUUGCUUGUUCUGCAAAGUCCAAUUAAAGUUGACGUGGUUUACACUGGACGGCUGCUGCUGAUGUUUGUAUGCUCACGUGAAGUCUUUGGCUAAGCAAGUUGCUGACCAGGCUGCUUGCGGCUAAGAGUAUAAGGACAAUUAUGGGCCAACUAAUGUUAGUUGACAAUAUUAACCAGUUUCAGAAACUAACAGUGAGUGCGUUUACAUGCACAGCUUAAUCAGACUAAGCUCAUAGUUCUUUUUUCUUUUUUUUUUCUUCUGCCAAAUCCGACUUCUCUCCUUGUCGGUGUAUACAUGCAGCUGAGAAAAUCGAGUUACUGAAUUGAAUUAUUGACGUGAACAUGUACUCCUCCCCCAAACUAGGGGGCAAAAUGGGUCUUUU